UCCCAGUCACACGGCUAACACAGAACAUGGCCUUGAACUCGGAUUUUGUCUGAGUAAACUUUGUCAUCCUAUUUCUCUGCUAAAACAUAGACGGCAAUUCCAGCUGCUUACCAAAUCCCCAUAACAAAGCUCCGCCCACCUGCCUCGGUGACCGCCUUCUGCUCACAGCUCCGCCCACCCGCCUCGGUGACCGCCUUCUGCUCACAGCUCCGCCCACCCGCCUCGGUGACCGCCUUCUGCUCACAGCUCCGCCCACCCGCCUCGGUGACCGCCUUCUGCUCACAGCUCCGCCCACCCGCCUCGGUGACCGCCUUCUGCUCACAGCUCCGCCCACCCGCCUCGGUGACCGCCUUCUGCUCACAGAGCGGCACCUUCCUGACCACCAUCGCCUUCCCAUGCAGUGAAUGAAGUGCAGACAUGAAAUCCUGAUUCUGCCAUUUAGCAUUUCUCUAAAACUGACUUCUUGUAUUUGUAAAAUACCCGCCUGGUAGUCUCAGGAUUGCUGUGAGCAUCGGAUAUGAGGAGUGCAAAGGACGGCAGGCAUGGUGCGAGGCAUGUGAUGUCCGGACCUCCUAGGAUGCCCUGGAACAACACCCACUCCAAAAACUCACUCUGCAGGUGACAACAGAGAGGUCCCAAUGGUGGAGUGAUCUGCAGGCACAACAGGGCACAGCCAUGGCCAAGGUGGGAGCCAGAAAACUUUGUCCGCCCUGCCAGGCAUCCUCAGCUGCUCUGCCCUUCCCCAGCAGACCCACAACGUCCUGCCAUAUGUGCCUCACUUUACCUCCACCUCCCAUCCGGCGACAGUGCAACAUGAGCUCUGGGUUUCUCUUUUCUACCCGAGUCAGGCUGACUACCUGGUGAAGAGGAAGCUUCCCAGCUGUGUUAAUUUCCUAGGCCCACUGUAACCGAGAACCAUGAACUGGAGGCUUAAACAACAGAAAGGUUUUGUCUCUCAUUCCUGGCGGCCGGAAGUCCGGGAUAGCUCAGGUGUGGGCAGGGUGGGUUGGUUUCACCCGAGGCUGUGAGGGAGAGCCUGCUCCAUGCCGCUUGCAGCUUCUAGCGGCCCCAGGAAUUCCUUGGCUGUAGCUGCAGAGCUCCAGUCUCCACCUGCAUCUUCCCCGGCCACGUCCUCGCUGUGUGUCUUCACCUCAGCCUCCCGCUAUGCAUGUCUGCCUGUGUCCACACUGCCCCUUUUUAUAAGGACCCCAAUCACACUGGAUUAGGGCUCACCCUAACGACUUCAUUUUAACUGGACGACCUCUGUAAAAAGCCAGAUAAUGGGGACGGUGGGAAGGCAGGGACGGGGAGGGGUGCUCUGUGAGAAAAUCGGACUGUUUUCCCAGCCUUUUCAUUGUCUGUAUUUCUACUCACUCCAGUGUAAGAGUCAGCUGUUUUCUGGCCUCGUCUGGUUUGUUUUCUCUGUGCCCUUGCCCCGUCUCCUGGCCUUAGCCCCUCUCAGUGGCUCUCUCCAGGCUGCUCACCUCCUGCUUGGGCUCGUCUUGCUCCCUGGCCUGAUCAGUCAAGCAGAAUGACUCCAUCUGGAAUGGGGCCUGGAUUCUCAGGACGGCUCAGAGUUUCCUGUAACUGAAGGCCUUAGCCUUGCAGGCUCGGAAUCCAUGCAUCUUAAAUUCACGGAGCCCGCUAGUAACUCUUCCUUGGGUAAUUGGCACCUAAUAAAACUUUGUGGAACAAAUAUAGUUGUGCGACAGAGUAGCCAAUUUGCUGGCCAGCAUCAUUUCACAAAGCCCCUGACUCCGGUGAUGUGCAGCUCUCCGGGAUGCUUUGAAGACUCAGCAGGAUAGAGCACGUGGCUCCCACAUUUCUUGCCUGAGUCACCGUAUUCCAGGAAAGGUAAGUGACCCUAGUCUUUGCCUUUUCCUAGACGUGAGGUAACAUCUGGUGUGGCUCAUGAUUAUGCCUCUGUGGCCUAUAAUCAGAUGCACUCUUACAUCCAAACCUUGAUGUUUCUGCUUUACUGUGACUUCUGAACAAGUCCGAUGUGAUUUUGCAUAAACUAUGAACAAAAACACUGCUUGAAAGGCGUCUGAUCGCUCUGAAAAACUCCGCCCAGGCUGUAGUCCUCCCUCCAUAGUCCUGAGUCAGACUUCUGAAUAAAGAUAACUUUAAUUCU
Callithrix jacchus (white-tufted-ear marmoset) is the source of this 2134-nucleotide long non-coding RNA. RefSeq lists it as uncharacterized. The record is from RefSeq and is a predicted model, not a curated record. Lineage: Eukaryota; Metazoa; Chordata; Mammalia; Primates; Cebidae.